UACGGAGGGUGCAAGCGUUAUCCGGAUUUACUGGGUUUAAAGGGUGCGUAGGUGGAUAAGAAAGUCAGUGGUGAAAUCUUCGGGCUUAACCCGGAAACUGCCGUUGAUACUAUAGAUCUUGAAUAUCCUGGAGGUGAGCGGAAUAUGUCAUGUAGCGGUGAAAUGCUUAGAUAUGACAUAGAACACCAAUUGCGAAGGCAGCUCACUACGGGAUCAUUGACACUGAGGCACGAAAGCGUGGGGAUCAAACAGG
Molecule: ribosomal RNA, 253 nt
Filed under: uncultured bacterium
Lineage: Bacteria
Description: partial 16S ribosomal RNA
Rfam family: Bacterial small subunit ribosomal RNA
Source: RNAcentral